Molecule: ribosomal RNA, 426 nt
Filed under: uncultured bacterium
Lineage: Bacteria
Description: bacterial SSU rRNA
Rfam family: Bacterial small subunit ribosomal RNA
Source: RNAcentral
AGGGAAUCUUCCGCAAUGGACGAAAGUCUGACGGAGCAACGCCGCGUGAGUGAAGAAGGCCUUCGGGUCGUAAAACUCUGUUGCCGGGGAAGAACAAGUGCCGUUCGAACAGGGCGGCGCCUUGACGGUACCCGGCCAGAAAGCCACGGCUAACUACGUGCCAGCAGCCGCGGUAAUACGUAGGUGGCAAGCGUUGUCCGGAAUUAUUGGGCGUAAAGCGCGCGCAGGCGGUCUUUUAAGUCUGAUGUGAAAGCCCACGGCUCAACCGCAAGCGGUCAUUGGAAACUGGGAGGCUUGAGUGCAGAAGAGGAGAGUGGAAUUCCACGUGUAGCGGUGAAAUGCGUAGAGAUGUGGAGGAACACCAGUGGCGAAGGCGGCUCUCUGGUCUGUAACUGACGCUGAGGCGCGAAAGCGUGGGGAGCAAAC